Long non-coding RNA from Aethalodelphis obliquidens (Pacific white-sided dolphin), 1613 nucleotides. RefSeq lists it as uncharacterized. Lineage: Eukaryota; Metazoa; Chordata; Mammalia; Artiodactyla; Delphinidae. The record is from RefSeq and is a predicted model, not a curated record. The transcript has 3 exons.
AAUAAAUAAAUAAAUACAAUUUGAAAAAAAAAAACCCUACAAUUUUGUUAAAAAAGCCGUCUUACUAACAGCUGUAAGAGUUGGUGGUGCUGAAGGUUUAUAUAGGCACAGAAUAUGUCAUGUAAGUGAGCUGUUCACGAGGAAUGUUGAAAUAAGAAACGUUAAUUUAAAAUUUAAAACAUCAUAAAUUCACUGUUUAAGCAAAACCCCAGAAGGCUUUUUCUUGUAUCAAUACAAAGCAAGCUGAAAUGGGUUAAGAUGAUUGUCAGGAAAUUCCCGGUUCCAGUGAACGAUGACCCUCCUAUCCACUAGAGGUCGCUCUUUGGAAAUGACUUUGCCUCAGGCAGUCGGCAGCCUGCAAAAAGUAGUAUCAUCGUUCCUGUGGUUUUUUGGUCAAGUGGCGAGAAGGCCGCGCAUUUCUUAUGAGCUGAGUGGAGUUUGUGCUGGGCAAUUGUCCAGUAUCUAGGUUUCGUUUUGACUUUGUAACCCAGAACCGAAAGACUCCAGGAACAUAUUUGGGGAAAUGCUUCUAAAGGAUGGACCUUCCUUCCAUGCUUUAAAGAAGUUUCAGCCAGGACGGUGGUAUGCAGUGAAGAAAAAAACCUCUUCACAACUGAAUCUUCUCCCUGGGAGACGUCCAGGAGACAAGACAACAUUGUGGACCACAGAUCAAAAGCGGAUGAGCGUCAGAGGUGUUGGGUGAGGCCGUUAUGAGGUCGGAUUGCCCUGAGGGAGGUCUAUGAGGUGUGGAGGGGAGGGGGUCUAGAGCCCAGGAACCACUAAAUAAGACUGAGGUGCCCAGGGCAAGGCCUGGACAGAGUCCACGUUUCAUUUUGUUUCAUUUCAAUCAUGGCCCCAAUUCCUGGGCCCUCCCUGAAUCCACCUUGGCCAUGAGACUUUACAAGACAGAGUCUAUCUCCCAGCCCUUGCAGAUAGGGCUUGGCGUGUGACUGGCUUGGCCAAGGCAACGGGGUGGAGGUGAUGGAGUGUCAGGUUCAAGUCACAUACGUAUUUGCCAACUUGACUUUCUCCUGUACCUUUGCUCUCUUUAGACUACUUCUAGGAGGUAAUAUGAAUCAUAUUUUAAAUAUUUUACUACAUACAGCAGCUCAACUUCAUUUAUUCUUAAAUGCUAAUUUUUCAUUAUGUGAAUAAAUCCCAAUAUAGUUAUCCAUUUCCCUAUGGAUGACAUAUAAGUUGUUGAAGGUUUUUACUAAUACAGAAAAUAAUGGAAGAAUAUUCCUGUGCAUGCCUCCUGUAUACAUGGGUGAGACUUUCUCACGUGUGUAUACUAGCAAGUCAUGGAAUAGGCACACUUUAGAUGUACUCAAAUAUUGCUAAAUUGCUUUCCAAAGAUUUUGGACCAGUCUACUCUUCCCACCAGCAAUACAUGAGAAUACAUUUAGCAUAGCUUAGUGUCAUCAUCCUAAUUUUUGCACUUCUUUUUCCAAUCUGAUGGGUCUGAACUGAUAUCUGGUUGAUAUCAGUGGAGCCUCUUUCCAUGUGUAUAUUGACCCUUCUGGUUUUCUCUUUUGUGAAUUGUCUGUGCACAUCCUCUGUCUCUUUUCCUGUUGGGUUGUUUGCCUUUUUUUUUAAUAGACUUACUCCUACAA